This 497-nucleotide ribosomal RNA is filed under the name uncultured bacterium. RNAcentral describes it as "partial 16S ribosomal RNA". It matches the Rfam family "Bacterial small subunit ribosomal RNA", at positions 28 to 507 of the family's 1533-position model. The record is from RNAcentral.
GAUGAACGCUGGCGGCGUGCCUAAUACAUGCAAGUCGAGCGAACGGAUGAGAAGCUUGCUUCUCUGAUGUUAGCGGCGGACGGGUGAGUAACACGUGGAUAACCUACCUAUAAGACUGGGAUAACUUCGGGAAACCGGAGCUAAUACCGGAUAAUAUUUUGAACCGCAUGGUUCAAAAGUGAAAGACGGUCUUGCUGUCACUUAUAGAUGGAUCCGCGCUGCAUUAGCUAGUUGGUAAGGUAACGGCUUACCAAGGCAACGAUGCAUAGCCGACCUGAGAGGGUGAUCGGCCACACUGGAACUGAGACACGGUCCAGACUCCUACGGGAGGCAGCAGUAGGGAAUCUUCCGCAAAGGGCGAAAGCCUGACGGAGCAACGCCGCGUUAGUGAUGAAGGUCUUCGGAUCGUAAAACUCUGUUAUUAGGGAAGAACAUAUGUGUAAGUAACUGUGCACAUCUUGACGGUACCUAAUCAGAAAGCCACGGCUAACUACGUG